RNAcentral lists this long non-coding RNA (826 nucleotides) under Salmo salar (Atlantic salmon). Its description in RNAcentral is "lncRNA (ENSSSAG00000119361.1)". The record is from RNAcentral. Lineage: Eukaryota; Metazoa; Chordata; Actinopteri; Salmoniformes; Salmonidae.
UGGAAGUGGAGUGGAGUAGUGGAGUGUAUUAGGGGAGUGUAGUAUGGUGGAGUAGUGGAGUGUAUUAGUGUAUUAGUGGUGUGGAGUAGUGGAGUGUCUAGUGGAGUGUAGUGGUGGAGUGUAGUAGUGGGGAAGUGUAGUAGUGGAGUGUGGAAGUGGAGUGGAGUAGUGGAGUGUAUUAGGGGAGUGUAGUAGUGGAGUAGUGGUGUGGAGUAGUGGUGUGGAGUAGUGGAGUGUCUAGGGGAGUGUAGUAGUGGAGUGUCUGGUGGUGUGUAGUAGUGGAGUGUAGUAGUGGUGUGUCUAGUAUAGUGUAGUAGUGGUGUGUCUAGUAUAGUGUAGUGGUGGAGUGUAGUAGUGGUGUGUAGUAGUGGUGUGGAGUAGUGGUGCGUCUAGUAUAGUGUAGUAGUGGUGUGUCUAGUAUAGUGUAGUGGUGGAGUGUAGUAGUGGAGUGGAGUAGUGGAGUGGAGUGUAGUAGUGGAGUGGAGUAGUGGUGUGGAGUAGUGGUGUGUCUAGUAUAGUGUAGUAGUGGUGUGUCUAGUAUAGUGUAGUGGUGGAGUGUAGUAGUGGAGUGGAGUAGUGGAGUGGAGUAGUGGUGUGGAGUAGUGGUGUGUCUAGUAUAGUGUAGUAGUGGUGUGUCUAGUAUAGUGUAGUGGUGGAGUGUAGUAGUGGAGUGGAGUAGUGGUGUGGAGUAGUGGAGUGGAGUAGUGGUGUGGAGUAGUGGUGUGGAGUAGUGGUGUGUCUAGUAUAGUGUAGUAGUGGUGUGUCUAGUAUAGUGUAGUGGUGGAGUGGAGUAGUGGUGUGGAGUAGUGGUGUGUCUAGUAUAGUG